RNAcentral lists this ribosomal RNA (904 nucleotides) under Acidobacteria bacterium enrichment culture clone CTBE CDB1001D08. Its description in RNAcentral is "bacterial SSU rRNA". It matches the Rfam family "Bacterial small subunit ribosomal RNA", at positions 45 to 975 of the family's 1533-position model. The record is from RNAcentral. Lineage: Bacteria; Pseudomonadati; Acidobacteriota.
AGACGCUAACCAUGCAAGUCGAAGAGAAAGUGGAGCACUCCAUGAGUACAGUGGCGUACGGGUGAGUAACACGUGGAUCAUCUGCCCUUUUGUGGGGAAUACCGAUGGGAAACCGUCGACAAUACCGCAUAAGCCCGAGAGGGGAAAGCAGCAAUGCGCAGAAGGAGGAGUCCGCGGUCGAUUAGUUAGUUGGCGGGGUAAAGGCCCACCAAGACUGUGAUCGAUAGCCGGCCUGAGAGGGCACACGGCCACACUGGCACUGAAACACGGGCCAGACUCCUACGGGAGGCAGCAGUGGGGAAUCUUGCACAAUGGAGGAAACUCUGAUGCAGCGACGCCGCGUGAGCGAUGAAGCCCUUCGGGGUGUAAAGCUCUUUCGGCAGGGAAGAUUAUGACGGUACCUGCAAAAGCAGCUGCGGCUAACUACGUGCCAGCAGCCGCGGUAAUACGUAAGCAGCAAGCGUUGUUCGGAGUUACUGGGCGUAAAGGGUGCGUAGGCGGCUUUUUAAGUUUGGUGUGAAAUCUCCCGGCUCAACCGGGAGGGUGCGCCGAAUACUGAGAGGCUAGAGUGUGGGAUAGGAAAGUGGAAUUCCUGGUGUANCGGUGAAAUGCGUAAAUAUCAGGAGGAACACCGGUGGUGUAAACGGCUUUCUGGAACAUAACUGACCCUGAGGCACGAAAGCGUUGGUACCAAAACAGAUUAAAUACCCUGGUAAUCCGCGCCCUAGACGAAGCAUAAUUUGGGGGGGGCCAUUCAUUUAGGUCCAGUGCCGGAACUAACCCGUUAAAUUAGCCCCCUGAGGAAUAAAGUCCGCAAGGGUGAAACUUAAGAGUAAUGAGCGGGGGGCCCGCACCAGGAGGGAAACAUGGGGAUUUUAUUCAAGACAAUCGCAAAAGACUUUCG